GAUGAACGCUGGCGGCGUGCCUAAUACAUGCAAGUCGAGCGAACGGACGAGAAGCUUGCUUCUCUGAUGUUAGCGGCGGACGGGUGAGUAACACGUGGAUAACCUACCUAUAAGACUGGGAUAACUUCGGGAAACCGUAGCUAAUACCGGAUAAUAUUUUGAACCGCAUGGUUCAAAAGUGAAAGACGGUCUUGCUGUCACUUAUAGAUGGAUCCGCGCUGCAUUAGCUAGUUGGUAAGGUAACGGCUUACCAAGGCAACGAUGCAUAGCCGACCUGAGAGGGUGAUCGGCCACACUGGAACUGAGACACGGUCCAGACUCCUACGGGAGGCAGCAGUAGGGAACCUUCCGCAAUGGGCGAAAGCCUGACGGAGCAACGCCGCGUGAGUGAUGAAGGUCUUCGGAUCGUAAAACUCUGUUAUUAGGGAAGAACAUAUGUGUAAGUAACUGUGCACAUCUUGACGGUACCUAAUCAGAAAGCCACGGCUAACUACGUG
Molecule: ribosomal RNA, 497 nt
Filed under: uncultured bacterium
Lineage: Bacteria
Description: partial 16S ribosomal RNA
Rfam family: Bacterial small subunit ribosomal RNA
Source: RNAcentral